CUCAAAACAGAAGAAGGGGGUGGGGCUCACUAUUUCUGCACAUGCGAUUGAUUGCGACUAAACCUCGUGGUUGAAAUUCAACUCUGUGGAGAAACUCCAACAUGGUGGCUUGUCCUUCCAGCCUAAGCGACUGAUGUCUCAACUCUUAAUUGACAACACAAACCAGCGAGAUUGAUGUGACCGACUGCUGAAUGUGCCAGCAGAUACACAGCACUAGAUUACUAACAGAAGCACUCAAAUAAACAAAUGUUUUUCACAUUUCAACUCUUAGUGACAACACAGCGAGACUGACUACUGCAUGCGUAUGUGGAGGUGCAAUACAAGCUCUAUAUAUCAUUAUAUGGACUGAACAGUGCAGUGUUGGAAGCAAGCACACGUUAGACAAGUCUUAACUCUGCAAGAGUGUACUGGAGCUAGGUUGUUUCCCAAGGGGUAGUCACUCCAAUGCCAUUGAAAUUUGUAAACAAGAGUCUCUACAGUAUGAUGGGAGUUCAAUGAAGUUUUGGAUAACACCUGCAUGUCUUGUUGUUAUUGUCUGUUGGUCACCACCUGGGCACUCCCCUGGACUCUGAGACAACCCUCAGUUGUGAGAAACUGAUGAAAUAAUAAAAUGGUCUGUUGCUUGCAAGUUCGUUUCCCGUUUCUAUGCUAUCAAGAUCGUGACAGAAAUGAAAGUAGUGUGACUGUCUCUUUUCCUUCGACUGAGCUCCGUACGUAUCAGGUGAAAUAAAUACAGAUAUUACACUUUGCCCGUUCACUGUCCAUUAGUGCAUGCAAAGUAAUGUCCCACUGCAAGGUAUCUAAGUUUGUUCAUCAUUGUUAGAAUAUUCCAUAGAGAAGAAACGCUCUCGAUGUUUCAAUGCUUAUACAUAAUUAUAUAUGAUUGAUUUUGAUGGGGUACACACUCAGAACAAGUGUUAUGGGCAAAGUGUAUGACUGUCAGCUAGGGUUCUAUCUGUUUUAUUGUUUGGGAGAAGGUAAAUUGAAUAUAAAGGAAGUUUGGAGAGGGUCCCCCUAUAGGGAACAUUUUUCAUAUGGAUUCUCAGAAUGAAAGCCUGAUGUCAUUUAUAUAGCUUUUGAAAUUAAGAAUUUGCAGAUAGUAAAGUAUCCUCUGUAUAAUGCCUAUAGGGGGUUCGAGAGCUGGAAUCCCCCUCCUGCAUGUUAGUAUAUAAUCUUUCCAUCAAAAUGGAAAACGUUGAAGACCAGAGCUAUAGUUGAAGAUGAUCGGUUUUUGAAAAAUUUCCACACGUGGUGGUAGCCUACAUUAAUAAGAGUUGCACCUUGCCAACCUCUGAGCCCUCCUAUACUUGUCUAAAAUUGCUACGCCUUGCACUAUUGCAUGUCUUAAAUCAGAUAGGAUACUGAGUGACAUUGGUGUGUUAACGUAACCCCAUGUUGUAAGGACAACAAUGGAGGAAUGCUAGAUCCAAUAAAGCCAAUGCUAUUGUGUGGUUAAUUAGCAAUUGUCCAGUUCAUUCUUAUGGCAACAGUAGGAGGACAAGUGCUGUGGUCGACUUCCCUCAUGACCCCUUUAAACAAUGCAACAAACUAAAACUUACCGGGGGAGUUCGUAGUAGCUGCUUGGAAGUUUUCUGAACGGGGGUGGUUGUUCUAAAAGUAUUUUCAUGGUAUAAAGGCAAAUAAAUCAAUAAUUCAGACAUUCGUGAUACUACAACUAUAUCCCUUUAGACUUCAAAAUCACGUAAAAACUUCCUAAACAGUGCCUACCAUAAUUAUAGCAGGUAAAUUUGGGGAGCCUAAUAUUUCGCAAAGAGGCAAUUCUUAUCUAUAUUAUUGGUGAUUUUUAAUUUGAUAAUCGUGCUGUGUGGUAUUAUUGACCUCAUGCGAUACUGUGGCUCAACCUGACUAAAAAUCAAGCAAAAAAAAACAUUGGUGCUAUUUUUAAUUUUGGCGCCCCUCACCUUUUGAAUUGGCAUAUUGCCAUGGUUACUAUAAAUUCUCACCCUGACGUUUAAUCUUGACUUCUGCUCAUCUCUGACUGAUUGCAGCUGAAAUUCAUUUGUCGCCAAAUGCAAAAAUUUCUGGUUUUGAUUAUAAUAUACAUUUAAAACUGGAACACUUUUGUGCUUGUCGUAUAAUAAAGCUGUGUUCUCAUUUUUACUGCAUUUACUAGUUUUUGGAGUUAUUAUUAUUGAAUUCUUAAAGCCCCCAGCCCACAAAUCGCGGCCGUUAUUCUGAAUUAAAGUAUACUUACAGAAAUGACAAAAUACAAUGUAUUACUUAAUUCAGUAAACAUAAGUUACGAAGUGAUUUUGAUUCUUGCUAUUCUUCGCAACCUUUCUGCUGUGUGUCAUGAGACUAGAUUCAGACAUGCAUCUUAAUUAUGUACGGCUAGUAGAAGGCAGGAUCUGUACAUUGUCACGUGUUAGUGUAGAUAUUGGCAAACACUGAAGCGCAGUUGAGAACUCAAACUCAUGGAUUUUUAUCGAGGUUACAUAACUUAUGAUGUACAUUUAAGUCAAGUGUUCAGUGGGUAUGCCUAUGAUUGGAAGCAGAUUAGUUUUUAGACGAUGCCUUUACACUCUUGAGUACCCAGUCUAUCCCAUCAUGCAUGUUGAGAUCAAAGUUAUUCAUGGCACAUUGUAUAUGUAUGUAUACUGCUCUCAAAUGCAUGCUGUAAGUACUGCAGUUGGUCUAAGUCUGG
Molecule: long non-coding RNA, 2665 nt
Organism: Halichondria panicea
Lineage: Eukaryota; Metazoa; Porifera; Demospongiae; Suberitida; Halichondriidae
Exons: 5
Source: RefSeq, a predicted model, not a curated record